This 548-nucleotide ribosomal RNA is filed under the name uncultured bacterium. Its description in RNAcentral is "partial 16S ribosomal RNA". It matches the Rfam family "Bacterial small subunit ribosomal RNA", at positions 355 to 895 of the family's 1533-position model. The record is from RNAcentral.
UGGGGAAUUUUGGACAAUGGGCGAAAGCCUGAUCCAGCAAUGCCGCGUGUGUGAAGAAGGCCUUCGGGCUGUAAAGCACUUUUGUCCUGAAAGAAAUCCUUGGCUCUAAUACAGUCGGGGGAUGACGGUACCGGAAGAAUAAGCACCGGCUAACUACGCGCCAGCAGCCGCGGUAAUACGUAGGGUGCAAGCGUUAAUCGGAAUUACUGGGCGUAAAGCGUGCGCAGGCGGUUUGCUAAGACCGAUGUGAAAUCCCCGGGCUCAACCUGGGAACUGCAUUGGUGACUGGCAGGCUAGAGUAUGGCAGAGGGGGGUAGAAUUCCACGUGUAGCAGUGAAAUGCGUAGAGAUGUGGAGGAAUACCGAUGGCGAAGGCAGCCCCCUGGGCCAAUACUGACGCUCAUGCACGAAAGCGUGGGGAGCAAACAGGAUUAGAUACCCUGGUAGUCCACGCCCUAAACGAUGUCAACUAGUUGUUGGGGAUUCAUUUCCUUAGUAACGUAGCUAACGCGUGAAAGUUGACCGCCUGGGGAGUACGGUCGCAAGAUU